RNAcentral lists this long non-coding RNA (861 nucleotides) under Helianthus annuus (common sunflower). RNAcentral describes it as "hypothetical non coding rna". Lineage: Eukaryota; Viridiplantae; Streptophyta; Magnoliopsida; Asterales; Asteraceae. The record is from RNAcentral.
GUGGCUUGCCCACCUAAAAUGUUGGUUCUACGUUGUAAUGACCGCCAACAAUUUUGAGGUAUAUUAAAAGGAUGAGUUGGAUUACAUUGAGUUUGAUUACACAUGUUGGUGGAAGAUACUUCUGUGUGAAGACGUACAAAGUUUGUUUGUUUCCAUCGUUGCUAGAACCAUAAUCCAAGAAGAUUUUGUAAAAAUUGUCUCAAAGCAUGUCCCGAAGUUAGGGCACAAAGGGAUAAAGAUGUAAAAAAAGUAUGGGUAGGAGGGCAAGUUUGUUAUUGGAUCAAGGACACUCCUUAUAGACAUGAUUACAAAAGGGUUGGGUCGAUAGAGGUCAUCAACGAGUUGUUUGUUACUCGCCAUAUUUUGGUUAUCGCACAUCGCACCAUCCUUGACACUCCAAUCACCUAGCGAUGCCUCUGCCACCCCACCUACGCAAAUAAAAAAAACCCACAUGUAAUAGUUAUCACCUUAAACCCGGUGUGUCUCCUACCACAACCAUCUCGUUCCAUGUUCCCCUUCCUCGUAAACUCUCUUAAUCAUCCCUUGUUUUCCAACAUCCCCCUUAAUGAUACCGGUUAAUUGUGACUGAUGAGAAGAAGAUUCCUAGCCAAAAAGCAUAGGUAGUAUAUACUUUGUUUGAAGUGUCUUUUCAUAUUGUAAUGGUAAACUUGUAAUUUCAUAAGGCUUUGGAUGUGCAUUUUUAAACAGAUUGGUUGGGGUUGAUUUGGGGUUGAUGUGGGUUAGUUUGGUAGGGAAUUUUGGUUGAAUUAGUUUGGUAGGGAUUUUUAGAGGAAAAAUUUUUUAUGUGAGAGUUGCCGUUGUGAAUGGGAAUUUGUUUUUGAAUGAUUGAAUGUUGCCUUU